This is a non-coding RNA of Glonium stellatum, 82 nucleotides long. The record is from the annotation of a GenBank genome assembly. Lineage: Eukaryota; Fungi; Ascomycota; Dothideomycetes; Gloniales; Gloniaceae.
UCGGAUAUGGUGUAUCGGCUAGCAUCACCCGCUUUCAACUGAGAGUUCCGGGUAGAGCCGGGUUCGACUCCCGGUAUCCGAA